Molecule: long non-coding RNA, 1204 nt
Filed under: Ficedula albicollis (Collared flycatcher)
Lineage: Eukaryota; Metazoa; Chordata; Aves; Passeriformes; Muscicapidae
Description: lncRNA (ENSFALG00000028556.1)
Source: RNAcentral
CCACAAGCACAUUGCACUUGUUACCCUGACCACCAGAAAAUAUCUUUAUUUUAUUCCCAGCUCCCGUCAGCUUUUUCCCUUCAAAAAUUCGAUUUUCUGUGCCAGCAGCACAUUAAGACAUCGCAGCUUCCCUUUUCCGGGUUGGGAAUUCAGAUUUUUUUUGAGCUCCUGUGUGGAGCUCUGGUACCACCUAGUGUUUGGUGGGAAGCCUCAGCUGCUGGAUGUGGAUUUUCCUCGCUCAUGUCGCGACAGAAGGUGGCGAUAGGGGCGAGGAGGAGCGGCAGCGUCUCCUCCUCCAGCUGCUUUCAGGGUGAGAAAUUAAAUUCACACUCUUAAAAUUGGAAGAGUUUAAUGUAUAAGAAGAGGUAGAAUAUAAAGCAAAAGAUGCUUGGUUAGGCCAUUGUACAAGCAAACAAGCAGAUUCUAUAAAUAAAAGAAAAUAAAAAUUACCAUAAAAGAAAAUAAAAAUUACAAUAAAAGAAAAUUUACAAUCAGAUUAUUUCAUGGAAUGAUUUUGCAGAUUUAUUUUGGGCUUGUUAGCUACAAUUUUGCUUCAGAUUUUUGCAGUGUUUGCACAAUUUUGUAGUUGUAGACCUCAGCAGUUUUGGGUGGUUUUCUGAUUUUUUGGGGCUACUUUAACUUUGGUACUUUUCCUUUGGUGGUAUUUUUGUUUUCUGCUUCUGCCAUCUUGGAUAUCUAUUUUGCAAGUUUAUUUCAAAAUAUUUUUUUGCAAGCUCGUUUCUUGUAAAGGCCUUGCUUCCUUCUUUUGCAUUGUUUAUAAGCUAUUAUAAAAUGUCUAUAUUUAAAAGCAGGUUAAAAUUUAUAUUAAUUCUUUUCAAAUAGUUAUAAUUUUAUUACUAAAACAAAUAAAUUGUAGUGAGAGCCAACUACUACAAUAAUAAUUUAUAACAGGAACAACUCAGAAUUACAGAAUAUCCUGAUUUUCAUUCAGUCCUCUGCACAGAAUCAUCCCCAAUGUUAUAAAUGAUAAUAUAUUUAUUGAUUUUUGUAUUUAUAUAUUAGCUUCUGUCAGUUAUUAUUGAUUAUAAAGAUUUUGAUACAGUAUAAUUUGUCAUUUUUUUUAAUUGUUUUUGAUGUAUUAUAAUUUGUUAGGUUUUGUAUGUAGGAGCUACCUAAUUACCUUACACUAUUCUCUGAGUUAGUUAUAUUAAUAAAAGCAUUUUAACAUCAGAUAGUUUUUAUU